GGAGAGGCUCUGGCAGCUUUUCC
This 23-nucleotide unclassified non-coding RNA is filed under the name synthetic construct. The record is from RNAcentral.